Molecule: long non-coding RNA, 2834 nt
Organism: Nannospalax galili (Upper Galilee mountains blind mole rat)
Lineage: Eukaryota; Metazoa; Chordata; Mammalia; Rodentia; Spalacidae
Exons: 3
Source: RefSeq, a predicted model, not a curated record
UGGAGUAUCGCUUCCUGCCCCCGCCUCCCCUCCCCGCCCCGUUCUCUGUCCUAUUGAAACACCUCGCCCAGCCUGGCGCACAGCAAGCUCACAUUCUGCCCCUGGCUCGGGAUGGCGUGCCUGGAGGCUCUGCAGCCGGGCUCCACUUCAAAUGGCUGAAACUGUUCCUUGAGUCAUUUACGCACUGACUUCAGUUCCCUUUGGGGGUCCCAACACGAUACCGUUGAUCUACUGAUGGCUCCACUGGAGAGCCCCCUCCAUGGAGCUACCCCUGAAGAUCUGCCUAUUAAGAAAAACCCUUGGGCAGAACCACACCCCCCCACCUCAGGAAUGUCUUCCCAGGGAAAGGACAAGGACUGCAGAAACUGCUAGACUGAUGAAUUCUCAUGCCAACUGUGAAGUUGAAACAAAGACAGUGACCAUCUGAAGACUUUUCUCCUGCCCAGCAGCAGCACACCCACAUGGUGCAGUUUCAGCCAAUAGCAGUCUUUGCAAGAAACAGAAAAGCCCAAACCUCUCAGGAGCCAAGAACUUCCCCUUCCUCCUGUGCAUUCCUCUGUUUGUACUUAAAUUCCUGUGCUGUUCAGUUUUGAUCCUCAUAUGGCUGUGCUUAUUCAUGCACCAGGGUAAACUCUAACUUUGCACAAAUGUUAUGGGGCUGAAUUUUCUGAGAAGAAUGGUUUUGUUAACACAGUGUUUAUUCCUAAGAGUUACUAGAGAAUGAAAAGUUCUUGGGAAGACAAAAAGCAGUUACAGGAGAUCCACAGGGAGAGACUGGGAGAGACGCUUACUAGAGCACAGAAAUGCCACAUUAUGCCACCUGUCUCUGAGUAGCAAGCUUGGCUGUGUGACACACGCCAGCUGCUUCAAAGAACUAAAUCUGGCUGGACAAAGGUAUGCUUUUGAAAUGGCAGUGACAAUUUGUAUCAGUAGCUGAUGAAGCAUCUACUGAAAGGAAAGAGAAAAUUAGAUCAGAGGUGGCGACCACAAACAUGCAAAGCUGGCUUGCUUAAGGAAGAAUGUUCUCAAGAGAGAAAAGGAGAAAAACCUUAACGGAUGUCAAAAUUUUAGAUAAAAGGGAAGGUAGGAUAAAAGAGACCCUUAGGUCAGCAUAGUAGUGAGCACAGCCAUGACAGAGGAAAUCCACAUUGUAAGUUUUGGAGAUUACAAAUACUCAUAUCAAUUUGAUUUCACCCAAUAUUUAGCACCUCUCUCUAUAAGAGCCUAGUAAAGACGGUGUACACACAUACUUCUGUUCCUCCCACCCCAGGUGUUACCUAGAAUGAGAGCCAUUUUUCUUUAUCAUUAAAGCACAGUGAGGGUGAUUAUUAAUACAGGUGGAGAGGGAGCUCAUGAGUUUUUGUUCAUAGUUGGUAUUUACUGAGUUGUUAGUACAGAGGAAGCAUUUUGCAUGUAGACAUCCGGAAAAUUAGAUAUUAGUAUCCCCACGUCACAGGCAAUAGAACUGAGGUUGGAUGACGUUAGGUGACUGGACACGGUGCUGUGUACAGAGGCUCACGUUCAAGGUCAUGAUGGCAAUGCUAAAGAGCUGAAAGACCAAGCCAUAAUUUGUGAUCAGUGCUAAUAAUACAUUUACUUUCCUUCCAUUCCUUAAUAUCCGUCUGUAGGAAACCAGUUGCUCUUCUACUUACUUGUGACUUUGGCCCUUUUCCUUCUUAUGUUACAUGACACUAGAAUGAUAAAAUGCAUUUUUGUGAUAGAAAAAUGGCAAUUUAGGGGAGUAGAGCUUGCCAGCAUUUUAGUUAUUUUUUUUUUUAUUUUUGCUAGACAUGAUGGCAUUUUUCUGCUUAGUUCUGUAUGAAGCCUCGGAGUUCUGAGAAUACAAAGGAGAUGGGUUUAAGUUCACUAUUUUACUAUCCUUUUGACAGGGAAGAUAAAUUGAUAGCCUAUAAACAGAGUGAUUUAUAAAAAAGCCAUGUUUGGAUGUGGCAGAGUAAGAACCAGAAACUGGUCCUCUGUUCCCUUUCAGUGGCUCUUGAACCACUUUACUCUUCCCAAAAGAAGUGAGAACUUGAAUUUGAUUAAGGUAUGUGGCAGAUCAGGGAGAAUUGGCUUCAAUCCCAUCUCUCCUUGGCAGCCCACUUCAAUGUGAAAUACAGCUAAUUCUGAACCAACAUCUUUAGGUCUAGAAGUUGUCAAUGCUCUGUCCCUAAAGAGCACAAAGUUUCCAAAGUUUCAUGUGUACUUUAUCUUUAAUGAUAUCCUCCAGUCGUGAAAUUCUUCAUUUACCUGCACAGAUCAAACAUUCCAGUUGCUUCUCAAUCUACUUGAUGCACAGUAGACAUUUGCAAAUGCUUCUGUAGGGAUGUUUAUCCAUGACUUUUCCAGUAACACGUAAGUCUUUAAAAAAUUAAUUUUCUGUUAUAAUUCCCAUUUAUCCUGUUACGGCUUCUAGAAUGCUUUGACCACAGAAAGCCAAAACUAUGAAAUCCCACUCUUCCUUUCCAGCUGCUUCUCCUUUGUUGACAUUUAGCAAUGAUUUUAAAAAGUAUAACACAUACACUCUGUGUAAUUCUGUCUUGAAGGCUGGGCAUACUAAAGGACAGACACCUACAUUUUUGAGGUACCUAAAUCUGUAGCUGUUGUAAAUUUCCAUUUGUAUGUCUGAUAAUGUCACAGAUAAUUCUCUUCGUGGCUCUGGCUGUCUUGUUUUCAAAAAUGCUUGUUGGUCAUACCAUAAACUGUUCUUACUGAGUUUAUAAAUAAACGAGGUGUUUCUUUUAAGAAUAGUUAAGCAGGAAGUGUGACUUUGUUGAUAUUUUAUGAGACUGUCAUGUGUCCCUGACUCCCAAUAAAGGAACUAUUGCACCAUU